Molecule: ribosomal RNA, 90 nt
Filed under: Cryobacterium sp. MDB1-18-1
Lineage: Bacteria; Bacillati; Actinomycetota; Actinomycetes; Micrococcales; Microbacteriaceae
Also listed under: 1 other name
Source: RNAcentral
CCCGGUCACAUUCCGAACCCGGAAGCUAAGACUCUCAGCGCCGAUGGUACUGCAGGGGGGACCCUGUGGGAGAGUAGGACACCGCCGGAC